This 497-nucleotide ribosomal RNA is filed under the name uncultured bacterium. Its description in RNAcentral is "partial 16S ribosomal RNA". It matches the Rfam family "Bacterial small subunit ribosomal RNA", at positions 29 to 508 of the family's 1533-position model. The record is from RNAcentral.
AUGAACGCUGGCGGCGUACCUAAUACAUGCAAGUCGAGCGAACAGACGAGGAGCUUGCUCCUCUGACGUUAGCGGCGGACGGGUGAGUAACACGUGGAUAACCUACCUAUAAGACUGGGAUAACUUCGGGAAACCGGAGCUAAUACCGGAUAAUAUAUUGAACCGCAUGGUUCAAUAGUGAAAGACGGUUUUGCUGUCACUUAUAGAUGGAUCCGCGCCGCAUUAGCUAGUUGGUAAGGUAACGGCUUACCAAGGCAACGAUGCGUAGCCGACCUGAGAGGGUGAUCGGCCACACUGGAACUGAGACACGGUCCAGACUCCUACGGGAGGCAGCAGUAGGGAAUCUUCCGCAAUAGGCGAAAGCCUGACGGAGCAACGCCGCGUGAGUGAUGAAGGUCUUCGGAUCGUAAAACUCUGUUAUUAGGGAAGAACAAAUGUGUAAGUAACUAUGCACGUCUUGACGGUACCUAAUCAGAAAGCCACGGCUAACUACGUGC